UACGUAGGAUGCAAGCGUUGUCCGGAAUUAUUGGGCGUAAAGCGAACGUAGGCGGCUUCUUAAGUUUGGUCUUAAAGACCGGGGCUCAACCCCGGGAAUGGACUGAAUACUGGGAUGCUAGAGGAUGUCAGAGGAAGGUGGAAUUCCGAGUGUAGCGGUGAAAUGCGUAGAUAUUCGGAGGAACACCGGUGGCGAAAGCGACCUUCUGGGGCAUUCCUGACGCUGAGGUUCGAAAGCUCGGGGAGCAAACAGG
This 253-nucleotide ribosomal RNA is filed under the name uncultured bacterium. RNAcentral's name for it is "partial 16S ribosomal RNA". It matches the Rfam family "Bacterial small subunit ribosomal RNA", at positions 524 to 776 of the family's 1533-position model. The record is from RNAcentral.